This is a non-coding RNA of Podarcis lilfordi (Lilford's wall lizard), 633 nucleotides long. The record is from the annotation of a GenBank genome assembly. Lineage: Eukaryota; Metazoa; Chordata; Lepidosauria; Squamata; Lacertidae.
AUCCCAGCCUUGCUUGCUCGCUUGCUGCCACGUCUCACCCUUGGCUUGCUUGCAUCUUGCCAAGGGCACGCUCCCGCUGCAAGCGGGCAACGGCCGUGUGGUUUUUCGCUAUAUUUUUAUUUUUUGCAGCCUGCAAUUGCUGCCUUCUCCGACCCCACCCAGGCGACGGAGCGACCCUUCUCCUCCCAGCUAAGCCCAUGUUAUCUAACCCAGCAACGCGGCCAGGGAAGCAUUUGCAAAGCGGGGAGGUGCAAAGGGGACCCUGCAAUGCAAUGGAAAGCAAAGCAGCUAGCCUGGAGAAGACAGGUGCGUUUCCUUAUUUAAAAAGGGAGGGAAAAAAUAAAAUCCUUUUGGAAAGAGUUGGUGGGGAGAGUCGGGACUUUUUAUUUUAUUUUUAUUUUAUUGCUUUGCAAAUGAUGCUGAUGAUAAUGAUGCAAGCUUUAGGACCGCACAGGACGCCGGAGAUGCAAGCUGGAAUUUCUAGUCAGCUGCGAGGAAAGCGUUUGCAAGCCGGGGAGGUGGAAAGCGAACCCUGUAAUGAAAUUCAAAGCAAAGCAGCCAGCCUGGAGAAGACAGGUGCGUGUCCUUAUUUAAAAAGGGAGGGGGAAAAUAAAAUCUUUUUGGAAAGAGUUG